Molecule: non-coding RNA, 4438 nt
Organism: Homo sapiens (human)
Lineage: Eukaryota; Metazoa; Chordata; Mammalia; Primates; Hominidae
Source: RefSeq, a predicted model, not a curated record
AGCUGCGCAGGCGCGGCCCCGCCCCUGAAUGGGGGCGGGGCUGCGAGUAUGGAGCAUGCGCAGUGGCCUCGCUGGGGGAUCCCGUAGAGGUUUGGCGUGUGGCCUGCGGGUUCCCCGGGCGGGUCGACGUGCGCUCCUCUCUGGUCUCGAGUCACCAGGACCAGAUCGAGGAUGCGGCCGACCCCCUGCCCGAUGUGGAAAGCGAAGUCUCCACCUCGUGAUUGGGUCUCUGCUGUCAGAGAGCUUCACGAGCUUGAGGGGAAACAGACAGAGAGGUCUGGGCAUUGGGCAGUUUCCCGCCUCCCAGCCCCGCGCACUGAACAGACUGUGACCAGAACUGCGAACAAAGCGCGGAGGGAAGCUCUUAAAGGAGGCCAAAGCGGCCGGGCGCUGUGGCUCACACCUGUAACCCCAGCCUGUAAGCCUAGCUACUCGGGAGGCCGAGGCAGAAGGAGCGCUUGAAGCCAGGAGUUGGAAGCUGCAGUAAUCCGUGAUCGGACCGUUGCACUCUAGCCUGGGCAACAUAACGUCCUUUGAAAAAAAAAAAAAAAACAGAGGCCAAAACGGGUAGCAGUGGUGCCCGGGCACCAAGGAUGGAAGGCCUCUCUGAGGAGGUGAUGCCGAGCUGAAGCUGGGAAGCGGAUGUGAGGGAAGAGUUCCAGGCAGAGGGAAGGCAAAUGCAGAGAUCCUCAGGCAGGAACACUGAACUGUUCUCCGUAUUUGAGGAGCAGAGGGCGUGUCAGUGGUGGCCGCAGCAGCUGAGCAAAGGUCUUAGAAUCCCAGCUAAUGUCGUGGGACCUAGCACCCAAUCCCAAAAGAAAGAAGAAUAGAUAGGAACCCACUGUUGACAAGAAGGUGCACUGAGAAGUGUUUUUAUCUGACCCGAUCUGCAUCCAGUUUAGAAGCCGAUACAUCAGGGAUUUAACAAUCUGUCUUAAUGUCUAGCAAGGGGGGUUGCUGGAGGGAAAACACAGAGUCAGAGUUCUAUCUUCAGCCCUGCCAGCAGGUCCCUGGGAGAUGCUAGACGAGUGACUUUUCUCUGGGCGUGGUUGGUGUAAGGGAUGCACACGCAGGAGGAAGGUCGGAGUGUAAAUGUGUGACCUGGGCCUGUUACUGGGUAUAAAUGGGCCUGUAGUGACCGGGAGCUCAUGUUCUACCAAAGGGGUUGCCAAUUUUCUGAUUUCGAGUGUGGCGGUGUAAAAGAGAAAAGCAACUGCUGCCAGCUGGGAGCUGGUUUGCACCCUCACUCCAGAAGCCUUGAUGUUGCUAGGAGCUGACCUGGCACCAACAGCACGGCCAUGGUGGUGUCCUGUUGAGCAAAAUAAUUUCACAAAAAACAUCAGACAAGGUCACUCUCUGACUGAUCUAGAAAAAGACCAUUCCAUAAUAAAGCCUCAAUACAGAAACAAGAACAUUGUCCAAACCACAAAAAUUACCAACACAAUCCUCUCUCCCACAGCGCUGGAGUGCAGUGAUGCAAUCUUGGCUUACCACAACCUCCACCUCCAGGUUCAAGCGAUUCUCCUGCCUCAGCUUCCAGAGUAUCUGGGAUUACAGGCACCCACCAUCAUGCCCAGAUCAUUUCUGUAUUUUUAGUAGAGACGGGGAUUCACCAAGUUGCCCAGGUGCUUCCUGGUGGUCCUUGGUUGGAGGGUACUAUCAGAAAUGGAGGAGCAACAAAGAUUCAGCUGAAGCCCUCACUGCCUGGGACUGGGACCCUUGACUCGUCAUUGUAUGCACACCUGAAACUGCUUAUGUCGCUGAGGUGCCAACCUGCUGAUGGUUGGAAGCUAAUUGAGUUCUGAUAUUGUGUUGAUACCCUUAAGCAUUGGGUUUACUUUUUAUUUUAAUUAAUUAAUUAAUUAAUUUUUGAGACAGAGUUUCACUCUUGUUGCCCAGGCUGAAGUGCAAUGACACGAUCUCGGCUCACCGCAACCUCCGCCUCCUGGGUUCAAGCAGUUCUUCUGCCUCAGCCUCUUGAGUAGCUGGGAUUACAGGCAUGCACCACCACACCUGGCUAAUUUUAUAUUUGUAGUAGAGACAGUUUCUCCAUGUUUGUCAGGCUGGUCUCAAACUCCUGACCUCAGGUGAUCCACCCGCCUCGGCCUCCCAAAGUGCUAGGAUUACAGGCGUGAGCCACCAUGCCUGGCCAUAUUUUUUAUUUUUCAUUUUUUACUUUUUGAGAUAGGGUCUCACUCUGUUGACCAGGCUGGAGUGCAGUGGUACGACUCAGCUCACUGCAACCUCUGCUUCCCAGCUCAAGUGAUUCUCCAGUUUCAGCCUCCUGAGUAGCUGGCACUAAAAUUAACCAAUGCCGGUUAAUUUUUUUUUUUUUUUUUGGCGGGGGACAGAGUCUCGCUCUGUCUCCCAGAGUGGAGUGCAGUGGCGCUAUCUCUGCUCCCUGCAAGCUCUGCCUCCCGGGUUCAAGCAAUUCUCCUGCCUCAGCCUUCUGAGUAGCUAGGGUUACAGGCAUGCGCCACCACACCUGGCUAAGUUUUGUAUUUUUAGCAAAGAUGGGGUUUCUCCAUGUUGGUCAGGCUGGUCUCAAACUCCUGACCCCAUGAUCUGCUCACCUUGGCCUCCCAAAGUUCUGGGAUUACAGGCAUGAGCCACCACACCCAGGAAUGCCGGUUAAGUUUUAUAUAUAUAUUUUUUUGUAGAGAUAGGGUUUCACUCUGUUACCCAGGCUGGUCUCAAACUCCUGAGCUCAAAGCAAUCCUCCCACCUUGGCUUCCCAAAGUGCUGGGAUUAUAGAUGUGAGCCACCAUGCCCUGCCAAGCAUUGGGUUUAUUUGGUUUUUCAGUUUUUUUACUCCUGGAAUAAGGCCCCCACACUGGAUUUUUGGUUAUCUGAUCAAAUAUUUAUUUUGUCCUUGGUGCAAUUGUUUUCUGUCCUUCUACACUCAUUCCUAUGGUGUUUUCUUGUCUAGUAUUUUGAAUAUUGUUUGUCUAUAAGAGGCAAAGUCGAUAUAAAAAGGAUGGAUGUAGGCUGGGCGCGGUGGCUCAGGCCUGUAAUCCCAGCAACUUUGGGAGGCUGAGGUGGGUGGAUCACCUGAGAUCAGGAGUUCAAGACCAGCCUGGCCAAAAUGGUGAAACCCCGACUACUAAAAAUGCAAAAAAUUAGCUGGGUGUGGUGGCAGGUGCCUGUAAUCCCAGCUACUUGGGAGGCCAAGGCAGGAGAAUCGCUUGAACUUGGGAGGCAGAGGUUGCAGUGAGCCGAGUUCGUGCCAUGGCACUCCAGCCUGGGCGACAGAGAAAAAAAAAAAAAAGUCUCUGUCUCAAAAAAAAAAAAAAAAGAAAAGAAAAGGAUGGAUGUGUAGCCUCGGAUGUCUAAGGGCAUCACAAACCUAUUAUUGCUGAAUCUCUGGUGACCGAACACAACUUAUCCCUCUAGGAAGGUAGGGAUGCCAACUGUUGAGGGGUUGUGCAACUAGUUAGCAUCCGAGAGUCUUAUUUGUUAUCAGAAUUAACCAGAGAAAUCACUCCAGCAACCAAGAGCCAGUAAGUGUGUCCUACAACCAGCUCCAGAGACUGUACAAUUCGGAAGGUAUUCUCAGACUAAUGUCCUUUGGGUAAACUUUGCCCAGGUCACCAUUUCUUUUUUGUUUUUGUUUUUUGAGACAGAGUUUUACUCUUGUUGCCUGCUGAAGUGCAAUAGGACAAUCUCAGCUCAGCUGCAACCUCCACUUCCCGGGUUCAAGUGAUUCUCAUGCCUCAGCCUCCUGAGUAGCUGGGAUUACAGGUGCCUGCUACCAUGUCCGGCUAAUUUUUGUAUUUUUGAUAGAGACAGGGUUUCACCAUGUUGGCCAGGUUAGUCUCGAACUCCUGACCUCAGGUGAUCCACCCACCUCUGGCUCCCAAAGUGUUGGGAUUACAGGCAUGAGCCACCACGCCCAGCCCCAGGUCACCAUUUCAAAGCCUUGAAAAGGAUUUCUUUGGUUUUGUCUAUGUCCUUGCAAACUGCUUUGUUUCAUUUCUUCUGCUCAGUAUCAGGGGGCUUUCUCUGGCCUCUGAUCAGCGAUGGUGUUUGGCCACAUUCUAGAGAUACGAAGUUGUAUAAGCACCAUUCUUUUAGACCCCAGUCACAACUAAAAUUGGGCCAAAGACCUGCUCCCUUCAUGUUUUCUCACGAUUGCAAUAACAUGUACCCAUAUAUCUGUAACUGACACAAUUUCACCAGGGACAGUUUGUAAUUGCCGUAGCCAUUUGGUGGAACUUUUGAUAAUAACAAGAUUGUUCAUUUGGGAGGUGCCUCAGAACACAAAGGGAAGAAACCUUUGUGAGAUUGUUUGCCUUGUUUGUUAAAAACAAAGAUUAUUUUGUUUAACAUAGGCAAUAUUUCAUUUACCUAUUUUGCAUAUUAAUAAAUGCUGUCGGCCAGGCACAGUGGCUGACACCUGUAAUCCCAGCACUUUGGGAGGCUGAGGCGGGCGAAUCAC